This 459-nucleotide ribosomal RNA is filed under the name uncultured bacterium. Its description in RNAcentral is "partial 16S ribosomal RNA". It matches the Rfam family "Bacterial small subunit ribosomal RNA", at positions 338 to 795 of the family's 1533-position model. The record is from RNAcentral.
CCUACGGGAGGCAGCAGUGAGGAAUAUUGGUCAAUGGUCGGGAGACUGAACCAGCCAAGCCGCGUGAGGGAUGAAGGUACAGAGUAUCGUAAACCUCUUUUGUCAGGGAACAAAGGCGGGGACGUGUCCCCGGCUGAGUGUACCUGAAGAAAAAGCAUCGGCUAACUCCGUGCCAGCAGCCGCGGUAAUACGGGGGAUGCGAGCGUUAUCCGGAUUUAUUGGGUUUAAAGGGUGCGCAGGCGGUCUGUUAAGUCAGCGGUCAAAGCCCGGGGCUCAACCCCGGCCCGCCGUUGAAACUGGCAGUCUCGAGUUGGAGAGAAGUAUGCGGAAUGCGCGGUGUAGCGGUGAAAUGCAUAGAUAUCGCGCAGAACUCCGAUUGCGAAGGCAGCAUGCCGGCUCCACACUGACGCUGAGGCACGAAAGCGUGGGUAUCGAACAGGAUUAGAUACCCUAGUAGUC